AAUCAACGCUGGCGGCGUGCCUAACACAUGCAAGUCGAACGCGACUGGGGCUUCGGCCUCAGUUGAGUGGCGAACGGGUGAGUAACACGUGGGUGACCUACCUUCGAAUGGGGGAUAACGUCCCGAAAGAGACGCUAAUACCGCAUAAUGCAGCGGCACCUUAUGGUGAAUAGUUGUUAAAGCGGGGGAUCGCAAGCCUCGCGCCUGAAGAGGAGCCUGCGGCAGACAGCUUGUUGGUGAGGUAAUGGCUCACCAAGGCUGCGAUCUGUAGCUGGUCUGAGAGGACGGCCAGCCACACUGGCACUGACACACGGGCCAGACUCCUA
This 326-nucleotide ribosomal RNA is filed under the name uncultured bacterium. RNAcentral describes it as "bacterial SSU rRNA". It matches the Rfam family "Bacterial small subunit ribosomal RNA", at positions 32 to 341 of the family's 1533-position model. The record is from RNAcentral.